This 164-nucleotide ribosomal RNA is filed under the name Sclerolepis uniflora. RNAcentral describes it as "5.8S ribosomal RNA". It matches the Rfam family "5.8S ribosomal RNA". From Rfam's summary of the family: 5.8S ribosomal RNA (5.8S rRNA) is a component of the large subunit of the eukaryotic ribosome. It is transcribed by RNA polymerase I as part of the 45S precursor that also contains 18S and 28S rRNA. Lineage: Eukaryota; Viridiplantae; Streptophyta; Magnoliopsida; Asterales; Asteraceae. The record is from RNAcentral.
UAAACGACUCUCGGCAACGGAUAUCUCGGCUCAUGCAUCGAUGAAGAACGUAGCAAAAUGCGAUACUUGGUGUGAAUUGCAGAAUCCCGUGAACCAUCGAGUUUUUGAACGCAAGUUGCGCCCGAAGCCAUGUGGUUGAGGGCACGUCUGCCUGGGCGUCAAGC